CGAUGAACCCCUUCGGUGGGGAUUAGUGGCGAACGGGUGAGUAACACGUGGGCAAUCUGCCCUGCACUCUGGGACAAGCCCUGGAAACGGGGUCUAAUACCGGAUACGAGUUCUACGGGCAUCCGUGGGACUGGAAAGCUCCGGCGGUGCAGGAUGAGCCCGCGGCCUAUCAGCUUGUUGGUGAGGUAGUGGCUCACCAAGGCGACGACGGGUAGCCGGCCUGAGAGGGCGACCGGCCACACUGGGACUGAGACACGGCCCAGACUCCUACGGGAGGCAGCAGUGGGGAAUAUUGCACAAUGGGCGAAAGCCUGAUGCAGCGACGCCGCGUGAGGGAUGACGGCCUUCGGGUUGUAAACCUCUUUCAGCAGGGAAGAAGCGAAAGUGACGGUACCUGCAGAAGAAGCGCCGGCUAACUACGUGCCAGCAGCCGCGGUAAUACGUAGGGCGCAAGCGUUGUCCGGAAUUAUUGGGCGUAAAGAGCUCGUAGGCGGCUUGUCGCGUCGGUUGUGAAAGCCCGGGGCUUAACCCCGGGUCUGCAGUCGAUACGGGCAGGCUAGAGUUCGGUAGGGGAGAUCGGAAUUCCUGGUGUAGCGGUGAAAUGCGCAGAUAUCAGGAGGAACACCGGUGGCGAAGGCGGAUCUCUGGGCCGAUACUGACGCUGAGGAGCGAAAGCGUGGGGAGCGAACAGGAUUAGAUACCCUGGUAGUCCACGCCGUAAACGGUGGGCACUAGGUGUGGGCAACAUUCCACGUUGUCCGUGCCGCAGCUAACGCAUUAAGUGCCCCGCCU
This 792-nucleotide ribosomal RNA is filed under the name Streptomyces sp. MJ504. RNAcentral describes it as "bacterial SSU rRNA". It matches the Rfam family "Bacterial small subunit ribosomal RNA", at positions 67 to 874 of the family's 1533-position model. The record is from RNAcentral. Lineage: Bacteria; Bacillati; Actinomycetota; Actinomycetes; Kitasatosporales; Streptomycetaceae.